This 259-nucleotide ribosomal RNA is filed under the name uncultured bacterium. RNAcentral's name for it is "partial 16S ribosomal RNA". It matches the Rfam family "Bacterial small subunit ribosomal RNA", at positions 228 to 504 of the family's 1533-position model. The record is from RNAcentral.
GGCCCGCGUUGGAUUAGCUGGUUGGCGGGGUAACGGCCCACCAAGGCGACGAUCCAUAGCCGGCCUGAGAGGGUGGACGGCCACAUUGGGACUGAGACACGGCCCAAACUCCUACGGGAGGCAGCAGUGGGGAAUAUUGCACAAUGGGGGAAACCCUGAUGCAGCGACGCCGCGUGAAGGAAGAAGUAUUUCGGUAUGUAAACUUCUAUCAGCAGGGAAGAAAGUGACGGUACCUGAGUAAGAAGCCCCGGCUAACUAC